GUGACAGGCGGGUUGAGGUUGCCAAUGUCAGAGUAGAACAGAAGGUGAUGCAUGCUGAGGCAGUGAGGAGUAGAGGAUGAUGAGUCAAGGGGCUCAUCUCGAACGUGAGUAUUGCCAAUGCUAACAGAUGGUAUAUGCCAUGAAUUGUAAGGAAGCUGCAGAGAAGGUUGUCUUGUCAUGGUCACGAUUCACCUCAGCUGGCCAAACUACUCUACUGGAGACCCUGAAGGCAUUCAGUCCUAUGUCAGAUGACCUUUUUGACAGUGAAAAGGAACUGGCCACUUUCAUUGAGGGACUCAAAGAUGAAGGUCACAAGCCUACUGUACUUAAAAGUAAGGAUGUCUAUGGUUACAGGUCUUGUACUUCAGUACUCAGGCCUUUAGUAAAGACUCAGAGUACUCUGGACAUUGCUACCUCAAAGGUUAAAAAGACUGGCAAAAAGAAGAGUCGAAAACCCCUGGACAAGAACACUGAAAUCAACUAUGCUUUGUUAAGUGCAGCAGCAAAAGUCGUCCUGAAGAAUCAACCCAAGAUUCUUUUGACAAAUCUGUCAAAGGAGUCUCUCAAACAGACGGUCCUCUCAAAACCACCGGACUUGGCUGUUGGCCCUGUCCAGAUGCAGUCAUACAUAAGAUUGACGAACAUAAUUGGACCCUCUACAGGCCACACAGCAAGACUGCAGUUCCACACAGGUGUGGUCAGAAGAGGUAACGGUACCCAACUCACAUCGGCCACCAUCUCUAACAGGGACACAAGCACUGCAUUUGGAAGGUACCGGAAACUCCGAAAAAUCAGUCACUUUGAGGAGAGUGAACUUUGUGCCUUGCCCAGUCAAUAUCAUUGGAGUCCCUGUUCCUGCCAUGCUGCACAACGACCGGGGUUUGAAGGAAUGCAACAGAAUGCCUUGCUGGAGGGACCAGAAAAUGUGAAGGACUGAUGAGGCUGAGGACAAACUCUGUGAAGAGGCCCAGAAAUGGGGUCUGGCUGGUCAAAGAGCAGGAAGACCUCUGACUGAGCCAGAGCAACCGGAGGUUCGAGGUGAAGGUUGACUCAAUCAUAGACAAGGUGAGGUAAGCCCAGAAGAUCCUUCGAGGUCACCGGUCAGAGAUUCGACCACUUAUUGCCUACCCAAUGUGAACGGCCGUCAAGAGUCUUAGUCCUUUUGUCCUCCAUGUACAUGUUUAAACAGUUUCAGUUACAUCUCAAAUCGAGACGGUGCUUUGUCUUGGCUGUGCUCAGUUUGGGAGGAUUGGGAUUGUUUGGGAUACUUUUCUGAGAUUGGGAAAUAAUAUUUAUGUUUAAUAUAUGUUUACAUAAGAGGAUGCUGGUGUAUUACCUAAACAUCCAAAAAUCUGGGUUGUUUUGUCUAACACUGCACAGUAUAGGCCACCCCUUGACUGAUAAGGGAAGGAAUGGAUAAGUGUUGAGUUGAACCUACAGUGUGUGUGUAUAUAUAUUUUUUUCUUCUUUUGAACCAUUAUGAAAUGUAAUUUUCUUCUGUUUUAUAAAUGAUACACAUCUUUGACAAUGAAGUCAUGUAUAACUAUGCAGCAUUCACUUGCUAGAAUAUUACAGCUAUUUUAUAUACAUAAUUUCUAGUCAUGUCAUUACUGUAUUUUGGAUAAUUGGGUCCAUUCAAAUGGUGUGAUUUUUAUUUCCAGAUGUGUUAUGAAGGUAGUUUUCUUUUUGGAUGUGAUAAGUUUAAGAGAUCCUAUACAUCUGUUAAAGGAUGCAUAUGGAACAGGGCAAACAAAACAACCACAGCGUAACCUAUUCACAACCAAUACUGCCCAAUGAGGCAAAGGCAGAAACUGGUCAAAUGAGCUAUGUUUUAUUUUUUUUCUUCAUGAUAUACAUGUGGACAAGUAUCAUGCCUCUUCUGUUUUGGAGAAAGUGAGGGUCAUGUUAGCAGUUACUGUGAAACAAGGUAAAUAAAAGCCAUCUUUCACAGUUCUACACUAUGAGCAGUUAAUGCCUUUUUUGCUUUGUAGGGCAGAAUAGUAUCUUCUUUCUCCUAAUAAAAACAAAGAGACCUUUUUUUAAAUAUGCAUUUGCAUAGACAUUUGGUUUCCUGCCAAUUAUGCGUGCCAGCACGUGGGGAACCACUCGAUUAACUUGUGGCGUAGGACUCGAUACGUGGCACUGCAAACAGGGCAGCAUUUUAGAGCUAUCCUAUGGAGAGAAAAAAAUUGCAAAGAUGUUCUGACACUAGUGCAGUAAUCAAAUUACAUGUCACAAUGUUUUGGUUAAUUUACAGAUGUCGAUAGUGAUGACAAGGUGAUUUGCCUUAUAGACUUUGCUGAAAUGUGUUGAUCAUAACACCUGUAAUAUAACAGUAAUUUUGUAAUAAAAUAUGAGACUCUGGGA
Molecule: RNA transcript, 2367 nt
Organism: Oncorhynchus keta (chum salmon)
Lineage: Eukaryota; Metazoa; Chordata; Actinopteri; Salmoniformes; Salmonidae
Exons: 2
Source: RefSeq, a predicted model, not a curated record